UAGAAGUUCGGAGUAGACCACUCGUAGUAGAAGUUCAGAGUAGACCGCUCAUAGUAGAAGUUUAGAGUAGAUCACUCAUAGUGGAAGUUCGGCUCUCGCAGGAGCUUGGUUGGAAUCCUGAAGACAGUCGACCGCCGUAGAAACUUGGACGGAGUCUGAUUACUGUAGAAAUCUCACUGUCGGAGAAGCUCAGAUAUUGACGAAGUCCGAAAGAAGUUUGAAAAAUAGUUGAUCACUGUAGAAGGUCGACUGAUAGUGAGGCCCAGAGAGCUUUUGGGACGGCCCGGC
Molecule: long non-coding RNA, 288 nt
Filed under: Elaeis guineensis (African oil palm)
Lineage: Eukaryota; Viridiplantae; Streptophyta; Magnoliopsida; Arecales; Arecaceae
Description: long non-coding RNA (EGUI_LNC081520)
Source: RNAcentral